UCCUUUUCAGGCGCACAGCAACAAGCAUGUGUGAAUAAUGAGAGCUCAUCCAUCACAUCAGUUGAACAUGAAUUGAAAAGCCAGUGAAGACAAAAAAGAUGUAAGUUCCAUAAAAAAUAUAGAUUAAAUAAUUAAGUUGCUUGAUCAUGAAUUUGUAAUAUUGUAUAAAAAUAGAUUUUAUGCAAAUAAUUUUUAUCUUAACAUAAAUUUUACAACAUAUUAGAAAUAAUGACCUCAGAAUACAUUUUACUGGCCAAGGGCUCGUGGUCUAAUGCUAAUUUGUAUCCCUUUUAUAUUUACACAAAUGUAUGUUAAACAUGUUAAAAACAAGCGCUGUUUGUAAAACAUGCAUGCCCCCCAUAUGGGCUGUCAGUUGUAGUGGCAGCCUUGUGUGAAUACGUUUUUUGGCACUGUGACCUUGACCUAGUGACCUGAAAAUCAAUAGGGGUUAUCUGCGAGUCAUGAUCAAUGUACCUAUGAAGUUUCAUGAUCCUAGGCGUAAGCUUUCUCGAGUUAUCAUCCGGAAACCAUUUUACUGUGUCAAGUCACCGUGACCUUUGACCUAGUGACCUGAAAGUAAAUAGGGGUCAUCUGCGAGUCAUGAUCAAUGUACCUAUGAAGUUUCAUGAUCCUAGGCAUAAGCGUUCUUGAGUUAUCAUCCGGAAACCAUUUUACUAUUUCGGGUCACCUUGACCUUUGACCUAGUGACCUGAAAAUCAAUAGGGGUCAUCUACAAGUCAUUUUCAAUGCACCUAUGAAGUUUCAUGAUCCUAGGCAUAAGAGUUCUUGAGUUAUCAUCCGGAAACCAUUUUACUAUUUCCGGUCACCGUGACCUUGACCUAGUGACCUCAGAAUCAAUAGGGGUCAUCUGCGAGUCAUGAUCAAUGUACCUAUGAAGUUUCAUGAUCCUAGGCCUAAGCGUUCUUGAGUUAUCAUCCGGAAACCAUCUGGUGGACGGACAUACGGACGGACGGACCGACAUGUGCAAAACAAUAUACCCCCUCUUCUUUGAA
Molecule: long non-coding RNA, 1013 nt
Organism: Dreissena polymorpha
Lineage: Eukaryota; Metazoa; Mollusca; Bivalvia; Myida; Dreissenidae
Exons: 2
Source: RefSeq, a predicted model, not a curated record